This 73-nucleotide transfer RNA is filed under the name archaeon SCG-AAA382B04. Its description in RNAcentral is "tRNA-Arg". It matches the Rfam family "tRNA". Rfam says of the family: Transfer RNA (tRNA) molecules are approximately 80 nucleotides in length. Their secondary structure includes four short double-helical elements and three loops (D, anti-codon, and T loops). Further hydrogen bonds mediate the characteristic L-shaped molecular structure. tRNAs have two regions of fundamental functional importance: the anti-codon, which is responsible for specific mRNA codon recognition, and the 3' end, to which the tRNAs corresponding amino acid is attached (by aminoacyl-tRNA synthetases). tRNAs cope with the degeneracy of the genetic code in two manners: having more than one tRNA (with a specific anti-codon) for a particular amino acid; and 'wobble' base-pairing, i.e. permitting non-standard base-pairing at the 3rd anti-codon position. The record is from RNAcentral.
GGGCCCGUAGCCUAGUGGACAGGGCACCAGCCUUCUAAGCUGGUGAUCGCGGGUUCAAAUCCCGCCGGGUCCG